Non-coding RNA from Coturnix japonica (Japanese quail), 3808 nucleotides. The record is from RefSeq and is a predicted model, not a curated record. Lineage: Eukaryota; Metazoa; Chordata; Aves; Galliformes; Phasianidae.
GACAGGAGGGAGGGAGGCAGGGCGGGGGCCGCCCACCCGGGAGACGGAAAAAAGUCUCGGCCGAAGGUGCCGGGAUCCGGGAGGAGAGGCAGCGGUAUCGGCGGCACGCCGGGCGCAGGCUCUUCACGUGGCUGUCGCUGCAGUGUCGCCCUUCCCACGCCCGCGGUACCGUCGGCGGGAGUCGUGCGGUCGUUGGGACGCAACCGAAGCGGAGCGGCCGCGGGAAGGGCAGAGGCGGCUCCGGGGGACUCGGGACGCGUUCCCCACAAUGGCCCCUUUGAUGGUAUCUGAGCAAAAAUAUCAACCAAACCAAACCAAAACAAAUAAGGACGGGAACCUCUCGGGAGAAAACGGUGCGCAGCGGGAACAGCCCGCGGCGACCGGCCGCAUUGCCCCUGCCCUCCCCUGGGGCCGCGGCUGCCGCAGAGGAUCGUGCGGCGCUCCCGGGACGGGGCGGGGGGCGGGCGCUGCCAUCAGUCACCCCGCAGUGCGGCGCAGUGCCCGCUGUCGGGGCUCCGCACGGGCAUCUGCGGAUCAAACGUCGGUGCCGCUACAGCUGUGUGAUGCGUGCUCGCUCCGGACACCGUUCCGGCUGCAUUACGAUUUUUCUCUCUCCCCCUCUCUCUCUUUUUUCUCCCGAGGCACAGUUGUGCCGUGCUUUUCUCUUACAGAAACCCGAGCUGUCCCGUGCGUACUUCCCUGAGCCAGGCUGCUGGCAGGGCUGUGCGGCGUGGAGCCGGCUGCGAAAUCCUCCCGACAGCCCCGUUGGGGUCUCUCCUCCUGGAAACUCCCAACGCUAAGAGGGCCCCGCUGCUCCCAGCUUAGGCAGGUAACAGCCGCAAGUCGCUGCAGCGCUCGGAACCGCGGAGCCCCCGGGCGGCUUCAGUGGGGGAGCGGGGAGGAGACUGCGCACAGGUCCGGCAUCUCUCCGAGCCGCUCCCCGCCGGGUGAACGGUGCUCCGCAACGGCUGCUUUAUUGUUUUGGUAUUUUUUUCCCUCUUCUUUUUUUUCUCCCCAAUUUUCCAUCUUCAGAAGUGCGGUGCGAAUGAAGGCUGGGGCGGGGACGGCCACCGCGUGACCACGGAUCCCGCUGACCGGGAGCGCUUAUAGCGCCCGGCCCCGGGAUGCGGCGACGGCACUGGAACGGGCGUAGGGAACCGCCGGGACGUGGGGACAUGUCAGCACGGCCCGCGGGGAAGAGACGCUCCUCCGCUCCCAGUCUCCAGCAGAUAAAUCUGCCGCGUGCCCGAGAUUUCGGGAUUGCACCUUUCGGACGUGUAAGGUGCACUAGUUGGGGCGUUUUGUCCCUACAGAGCAGCAGCUCUAUCCCACGGCACUCAAGACUGUUCCGAGCUUCUUUAUGGCACUUAAACCUUCAGUUUUAGAGUUGUUUCUUGUAUUUUACCAUCUCACUUCUAAACAAACACAUCUCAUUUCUUGCACCCUGUGAGCAGCCCCGUGUGAGUAACUCUUCUGCAGCUUUUAUUUUCUCUUGCUGGGAAGCUUUCAGAGCAGCAGAGGAAGACAAUCAGCCGUGACUGACAACAAGGAGGCUGUAUUUUCUUCCUGAUGGAAUCACCGGUAACUGCUGGGAAAGCUGAUAAACAAGAAAAAAUACUGUGGCUUUUUUUUUUCUUCCCCAUCUGAUUUGAUUGUAACUAAAUGUUUGUGGUCAUUUCUAGCCAAAGUGGUUCUGACAGAUUGAGGAAAGAGCAGAGAACCGAAGAAAGCACGUGUUAUGAGUCUGAGUGAAAUAAAAGAGGAGACAGGCGGCGUUGCCGGGACUGUGGCUGCGCGGUGGGUGUGCAGCGUUCAUCCCGGUUCGCAGCGAGUAACCUGGCAGUGAGCUGCCAGCAGGGCUCCUGACAACGGGUCGCAGCGGGGCUGAGCCUUCGGUAGCUGCUGCGGAGCUGCAGCCAUGAGUGUGCAGUGAUAGAGCCGCGCUGCCCCGGCAGACUGUGCUCACACCCGCAGAUUGUUUGAUUUUACUUCAGUUCUGGGAAGUAUAAAAAUUGCAGGGAGGCUUGCUGUAAGCAAACACGAUGUCAAGCUGAUGAUGAGUUGAAAGGAACAAAUCAGUCUAUAAGGGAGGGGAAACAUAUUCGGUAUUUAUCGAUCCUUCGCAGUGGGAUCUUUCAGUGGUUAUCACUGGAGGUUAUCACUGGAGGUUAGCACCUCCGCAGAUGUGUUCUCGGUGAAGCCAGCUAUUGGCUUUUCAGGCUGCCGACUGAAAGCACAGCUCCACGUGCCCUGCAGUUUGCAUUCUCCACCUUUUGGCGCCUACAGAGAUCAAUGAAUGCACUCUCCCGGGUCGAGUGCUGCCUCCUGGCCCCCAGUCAGUAGGUGCUUGUGCAGUCCUCUUGUUAAAUACAUGAAAUGCUCAAGCUGUCACUGCUUCCUGAGUGAUGGGGAAAGGCAAGAUGUCCUCUGGCUCCAGGCUGUGCCGAAUGGUGACGGCAAGGAUGGUGGGGCCGCACCCCUGGGAUGUGGGGGCACAAACCCUGCAGGCGUGAGCCUCAUCCUUCCCUCCUCACACCUUUGCAUGCUUCCUCUGUGAGCUCGGGCACUCAGACCAAUUAAUUCCAUUAACAAAGGGUGUAAAUUAGAAGUGUCUGUGAACUGUAUUGAACCUCAAUUUGCACGGUCUUAUUCACAACAAAAGUGGCUGCAAUUUGAUUUAAAUUAAUUCACUUUCAGAAUAAAAUAACACUGAAUAGAAUAAAAGCAGCUUUAGUUUUGAAUGGUUGUCUGCAUAGAAUUGUUUGUGGUUUAACUAAUCCACUUUAAAAAUUAACUCUAUUAAUUUUCGUGGGGUUUUCCAUCGAGGUUAGCUUGCUUUCUCUGUUUCUCUCCGUCUCCUAUCAGUAAAAUGGAGAUGGCAAUAGCCUGCUAACAUUUUAAAAUUGCUGUGUUGGAUACUCCCGGUAACUGCAGCAUUUUGCCUUCCACUCGGUGUGUACGUUCCUCAAAAGCCAGGACUUGAUUUUCUACACAUGUGCAGAAUUCUUGCCUGGCGGUGUUUUACAGGCUCUGUACGCAGCUGUACAUGGCCACACAAGACAGAUAGCAGUGGGGAAUUAAGGCUCUGCUGUGCGUUUUGAACUCUGACCAAACAUCUCCUUGGCUUUGGUUCCGUGUUUUCUUCAAAGCCUGUGGGCCAAGACUUAAGAACUGUCUAACUUUCAUCAUCUUAAUGAACGGCUUCAGUGGUGUUAAUGGGAACUAGGGCACUUUCUUUAUUAAUGGAAAUCAGGUCACUUAAUUACUUAACAAAAAUGCGAGGAACCUUGUCUCACUGUUUUCUGCACUUCAUGAAUUGUGAGCUUUAAUCUGUUACCGAGAGGGCUCUGCUAAAAUGGAUGAAGCUGUAGCAGGUACAAAACUAUCUUUUUAUAGUGGAAAGACUUAUUGUGAAAAUGAACACACUAGCAUAUCUUUCCUAUUGGAAGUCACUGCCAUUUAAAUCUUUGCAGCGAUGUAGCAUGAUUUGACUAACUUGUGGUACGUAACUACUGAAAGGCCGGAUGAACACAUCAGCACAUCUUCUGUCAAAAAUGGGAACACUGAAGGGUUGUUAUUCUUUUAAAUCAAAGCUUGGUGGGUUUUGGACUAGUGGGAUUCUUUUAUUUCUUCCCAUCCCUCCCACCCAUCCUACUGUCUGCUUCAACGUUUUCCUUUCUUUCUUGAGUGGUUUCACUCCAAGUGGGACUUCUUUUGUGCCGUUCGGUUGCCAAAAAAACUGGAGAAUUGUCAUUAUUGAAUUUUGCUGUUGGUUGUUCUUUUAAAAUAAAAACCAAGAUGUUUUCCA